UCCUGGGUCCGGAACUGAAUGCACCUGAUCAUGUCUGAUCUUGGAAGCUAAGAAGUGUUGGGCCUGGAUGGGAAGUUAGUGCUUGGAUGGGAGACACCUGGGAAUACUGGGUACUAUAGGCU
Molecule: ribosomal RNA, 122 nt
Filed under: Bos mutus (wild yak)
Lineage: Eukaryota; Metazoa; Chordata; Mammalia; Artiodactyla; Bovidae
Source: RNAcentral